This 503-nucleotide ribosomal RNA is filed under the name uncultured bacterium. RNAcentral describes it as "partial 16S ribosomal RNA". It matches the Rfam family "Bacterial small subunit ribosomal RNA", at positions 30 to 523 of the family's 1533-position model. The record is from RNAcentral.
AUUGAACGCUGGCGGCAGGCUUAACACAUGCAAGUCGAGCGGGGUGAUGGUGCUUGCACUAUCACUUAGCGGCGGACGGGUGAGUAAUGCUUAGGAAUCUGCCUAUUAGUGGGGGACAACAUCUCGAAAGGGAUGCUAAUACCGCAUACGUCCUACGGGAGAAAGCAGGGGAUCACUUGUGACCUUGCGCUAAUAGAUGAGCCUAAGUCGGAUUAGCCAGUUGGUGGAGUAAAGGCCUACCAAGGCGACGAUCUGUAGCGGGUCUGAGAGGAUGAUCCGCCACACUGGGACUGAGACACGGCCCAGACUCCGACGGGGGGCAGCAGUGGGGAAUAUUGGACAAUGGGGGGAACCCUGAUCCAGCCAUGCCGCGUGUGUGAAGAAGGCCUUAUGGUUGUAAAGCACUUUAAGCGAGGAGGAGGCUCUUUUGGUUAAUACCCAAGAUGAGUGGACGUUACUCGCAGAAUAAGCACCGGCUAACUCUGAGCCAGCAGCCGCAGUAA